GGAGGGAUGGCCGAGCGGAUGAAGGCGCGCGACUCGAAAUCGCGUUUCCCGAUGGUCUCGGGAACGGGGGUUCGAAUCCCUCUCCCUCCG
This 90-nucleotide transfer RNA is filed under the name candidate division TA06 bacterium DG_26. RNAcentral describes it as "tRNA-Ser". It matches the Rfam family "tRNA". From Rfam's summary of the family: Transfer RNA (tRNA) molecules are approximately 80 nucleotides in length. Their secondary structure includes four short double-helical elements and three loops (D, anti-codon, and T loops). Further hydrogen bonds mediate the characteristic L-shaped molecular structure. tRNAs have two regions of fundamental functional importance: the anti-codon, which is responsible for specific mRNA codon recognition, and the 3' end, to which the tRNAs corresponding amino acid is attached (by aminoacyl-tRNA synthetases). tRNAs cope with the degeneracy of the genetic code in two manners: having more than one tRNA (with a specific anti-codon) for a particular amino acid; and 'wobble' base-pairing, i.e. permitting non-standard base-pairing at the 3rd anti-codon position. The record is from RNAcentral.